Long non-coding RNA from Papaver somniferum (opium poppy), 1090 nucleotides. RefSeq lists it as uncharacterized. The record is from RefSeq and is a predicted model, not a curated record. The transcript has 5 exons. NCBI's taxonomy places the organism in Eukaryota, Viridiplantae, Streptophyta, Magnoliopsida, Ranunculales, Papaveraceae.
CUUCUCUCAUUCCUUUUUUUCUUCUUUGUUCUGUCUCCCCACCACAAUCACCACCAGCAGAAACAAUAGAUCUACGAACACCAACAACAACUUUAUUCUCCCCCGACACAUUAUUGCACCUGCGUAUCUCACCACUACCACCACCCUCCUCCGCCUCCUUCAAUUCCUUCACCACCAAUACCAUUUCCACCACCGUAAACAUCACCACCCCCAACUCCUCUCCACGUCACAACAACCAUAAUCAAAACCCUAACCAUAGUUUCAUUUUAAAAAUCAGAAGGAAACACAGGUGGAUCUGGUGAUGUUUUGAUGAUUCUGUAAGAUCGGAUGAAGAAAUUGUUGAAAUUAGGGUUGUGACUGUAAUUGCAAUUGAAGAACAAGAAGAACAGAGAUGGGUUGGUGACGAAUUGAUGAUUGAGAUCAAUUUUGUAAGGAAAGGAUGAUGAAGUGGUGAUGUUCCUAACAAGGGUCUGAGGAAUUGGAUCCAACAAUUUUCUUCAAUUUCAUGCCUAAAUUUACUUACUUUUGCCUUCUUCUAUUUUCACCAUCACCCUCCUUCUUCACCACCACUAAAAACAAGCAACACUGUUAUAGACAACUGAAAAUUGAUUUUAAAGGAACAAGAUGAAUCUUCAUAUACACUGGCUUGGCUGAUUAUUGGGGUGAUGAGUUAAGAAGAUGUAUACCAAGUACGAGAUUGAGGUAAAUGGGUCGUGGAGUCAGUUAUGGAGGAGAUCCGAGUUCUUUAGGAUCUCUCUUUCCUUGUCCCUAGGAAUCAAAACUAUAUGUACCUGUUGCACUUGUUGCUGCUUCAACCGCCAUUGCUGCUGCUGCUCAGACCCCCUAGUUCAGUUGAAUUCUCACGAAACCAAAAUUGGUUUCAUCCUAUUUAUGAUGAAACCAAAACUGGUUUCAUCCUAUUUUACCUAUGGAGAUGAUGGUAGUGGUAGUGGGCGGAAGCGGUGCUGGUGGUCGGUGAUGGCGGUCGGCGGUCGUGGUGCGGGUGGCGGUGCGGCAUGUGUUGGCGGUGGAUGGUAGUGGUGGUGCAAUGGCACGGUGCUGGUGGUGGUGGUCGGCAGUGGUGCUGGUG